This 253-nucleotide ribosomal RNA is filed under the name uncultured bacterium. Its description in RNAcentral is "partial 16S ribosomal RNA". It matches the Rfam family "Bacterial small subunit ribosomal RNA", at positions 524 to 776 of the family's 1533-position model. The record is from RNAcentral.
UACGUAGGUGGCAAGCGUUGUCCGGAUUUAUUGGGUUUAAAGGGCGCGUAGGCGGCACAGCAAGUCGGGAGUGAAAGCCCGGGGCUCAACCCCGGAAUGGCUUUCGAAACUGCUGAGCUAGAGUACAGAAGGGGCAACCGGAAUUCCCAGUGUAGCGGUGAAAUGCGUAGAUAUUGGGAAGAACACCUGAGGCGAAGGCGGGUUGCUGGGCUGAUACUGACGCUGAGGCGCGAAAGCCAGGGGAGCAAACGGG